GCCUCGGUGGUCGAAUGGAAAGACGUCUGUCCUCAUAAGUCAGGAGAUUCCAGGUUCGAAUCCUGGCUGAGGCG
Non-coding RNA from Cyphomyrmex costatus, 74 nucleotides. NCBI's taxonomy places the organism in Eukaryota, Metazoa, Arthropoda, Insecta, Hymenoptera, Formicidae. The record is from Rfam.